AUAAUUUUCGACCAAAACAACAGAGUAAUCGAUAUAUAAUGAAAUCAAUUUAUAAGCAAAAAUUUAUAACUAAAUUAUUCAGAUUUAUUAUUAUUUAAUGAAUAUUAUAUCAAAUACCGAAAUGUAAUUAUCAAAAUUUUAAAAAAGAUGGUCAUCAUAAAUCAUUUUGGAGUGCGAAACAACGAUGAUGAUAUCGAUAAUAAUCAAGAUGGUCAUCCAAUUCAACAAUCAAUGGCUACAAAAAUGGCCAUCAUGAAUCGUCAUCAUCCUGCUACACUGAUUGAUUCACCAAAUAUGAUGAUAAUGUCACCACAAUUACAGCAUCAUAAUUUUCAACACCAUCAACAACAACAACGGAAUAUUGUACAUGUGCUGUAAUCAAACAUCCAUGAAUGCAAAUAUUCCACCAUCAUCAUAUCAUCAAGCAGCAGCAACAGCUGCAUCGCCACAACAAAUACCAAUUUCAAUACCAAAUUCACAAUCAUUUGAUGCUGCUACUAAUGAAAUUCGUGAUGAUUCGCAUACAUUUAAUUUAUACAUGUAAUAGCAUUAUGUGGACAUAACAUGGUUAUAAUCGUAUCGAAUAUUAUGUUCGCAGCUAUGAUUGAGGAAUGGACACUAUUGAAAUAUUAUAAAGCUUUAUUGAUCAAGUAUAGUUUAUUUUUAUAAUCUGAAUAUAUGUUUUUCAAUAAAAAUAAAAAAUGAAUAACAACAAAAAUUUUGAAACAGUAUUGAAAUAUAAUACAAACACAGGAUGUCAAAGAAAACGUUGAUCGUGCGAUUUUGAAAUUGAUUUUUGUAUGGGGUAAACUGGACAUAAACAUCUUCAUGAAAUAGAAAAUAAUAAACCGAAUUCGGAAAGUUGAUGUCAGGUUAAACUCAAAUGAAAUUCUUAACGAUAAUUUAAUAAUCCAAUUUACCAAUUUGUGAUAAAGGUCAAUUAUUACGUUCCAUUGAAAUUACAUUAUAAUUUUUUUUCAUCAAUUAUGCUGCUGAUAUGAUAAUAUCUAUCAAAUCAUGAGUUGAUUUUUUAUUCAUUUUUCAUGCUAAGUCUACGGCAAAAACAAUGAAUUCAUUUUGCCGCCAAAAAUUUCCAUGUCCAACUAAUGGGCAACUGCGCAUAGUCAUAUAGAUGUAGUGCGCUAACUAUUUUUAAUGCAAAUACUGCGCGCUUCUAUUCCCCAUACAAAUUUGAAUUUGAUCGUUGGAAAAAUCGAACAUUAAAAUUCAACGGUCGUCGAAGACGGUUGUCCUCACUCAACUUUGCGCUAUUUUUCGUGAUCAUGUCGUGAUAUUUUUUUCAUUUUUUUUCUAUUUUAAUCGUAGAUUUUUGCACUAAAUUUUGGAACAAAGAAUUUAAUCGAUUCAAGAUUAUCGUUGUUCAAACUUAUUGUGGUCUAAGAUCAAAAAUUGGCCCCGAAAUCGAUGAAGAUCGUUUGGUUCGGUCAUCAUGUAAUCAUGAUACAAGUUGGCGAAAAAAUCCCAUUUUCGAUGACUUUCAAAUUUUUCUUUUUCAGAGUCCAUUAUACUUGAUGUAUAAUAAUUGGAAUUCGGAUUAAUAUAUGAAAACAUGGUCAAUGAGCAUGAAAUUUUCAUUGAUGAUCAAUGAUCAUUAGACAUAUAAUUGGUGCCGUCUUUAGAAAAACGAUCAUGGUAAUGAUGCCGAACAUUACAAAUUUAUUGGUGGAUAUCUGGUCACUAACAUGGUACAAUGUCCAAUGAAACAUCAUGUUCAUCAUCAGGCCUGCAUUGGAUUGAAUUUUCGGAACAACUUAUUCGGUUCGUUCCUGAAAUUUUACAAUCAUCAAAUUGAAAUUCGAUUGAUGAUUAUGUUCGAGAUCAAUUCGGCGGUUCCAUUUUUCAUCAGCAUCCAAUUCAAGAAUAGUUUGACCAUGUUCAACACAUGAUAUCAGGUUAGGCUAGGGUUAGAUUAGGCUUAGGAACACGGUCUGAGCUAUUUCCUAUUGAAUUGGAUGCUGAUUGAAUCUUUGGAAUCAAUGAAGCGAUCGAAAACAUGAUUAUAAGUUGAAGAUUCAUGGGAUGGAACACAUACUUGAAAAUGAUCAUGGAUUGCCGGCGAACAAUUGGGAAAUUGAAUCUCGAACCACGGAUAGAAUUUGGACAUUGUCUUGGAACAUGGACCGCGAACAUUGGAUCUAUUUCAAACGGGACAAUUAACGUUGUAUGGCGCAAUUGGGAUGUGGAAUAUGGAUGUAUUUUAUUAUUUAUUUAUAAUAUUUUUAUAAAUUAAUAUAUCAAUAAAAUCAAUUAAAUUUCAA
This is a non-coding RNA of Dermatophagoides farinae (American house dust mite), 2279 nucleotides long. NCBI's taxonomy places the organism in Eukaryota, Metazoa, Arthropoda, Arachnida, Sarcoptiformes, Pyroglyphidae. The record is from RefSeq and is a predicted model, not a curated record.